Molecule: long non-coding RNA, 3326 nt
Organism: Lytechinus pictus (painted urchin)
Lineage: Eukaryota; Metazoa; Echinodermata; Echinoidea; Temnopleuroida; Toxopneustidae
Exons: 4
Source: RefSeq, a predicted model, not a curated record
CGUGAAUUUGAUUUAUGAAAAAUAUGUAUAAAUUGAUUGAAAUAACUAAAGUUAGCAUUAUUUUGUUUUUAAUUUAAAAGUGUAUGUUGAUUCAAAAAGUGUCUUAUUAGUAUUUAAUUCAAAUGUAAUUUUUUUCUUGUCUUAGCAUGAAUUAGUGAAUAAAGUGCUAAUGUAACACAAUAAAGUUUUUAAAGUAUAUGUGUUGAUAUGGAGAUUUUAAAGUUUAUUUUUAGUGAUAAUGAUACAUUUUCUGUGGCUGUGUUUUGUUUUGUUUUGUUUUCUCUUUACAUUGCAGUAUUUGAUUUGAUUUUUUUUCUUUUAUUUUCAUGUCUUUGUAUAUAAGUGUAUUUUAGUUGGUUUUAUAUCAUUCAAAAUGAUGUUUCCAUUGAACAAAUGGUUUUGAAGUGUAUGUUUAUUGUUGUUGUUUUUUUUCCGAGAGGGGGUAGUGAUUUGCUUGUAUGAAUCGUUAGGUAGAGAAAGAAUGCAUUUAGAAUUCAUAUUGUAAUCAUCUUUUGAUUAACAUGAUUCAUGUUUGUAUGACUGUUUUCAUGAAUAUAAUGUUUAUGAAUACUGUAAUGUUGUUUUCGUGGUAUUUGAAUGAUUUUAGAUUCAUUUGAAUGAGACAGUCAAUGAUAACGUUUAUAGAUGCCAAUAUUGUAUUGUAUUUUAAUUUAGUUUUUAUUACAUAUCAUUGAGAAAGGUUUGUUUUUGUAUUUUCUCACAGUGUUUAACAUUAAUAAUAAACAUUGUUUUACUGUGUAGAAUAUAAUUCCUUUUUUAUGAAGUUUUGAAAUAAAAAUUUUAAACAUUUUUUAUCAGAUUAAUAGUUUUAAAAAGAUAUGUUAAUAUUGAUAGAGUAUAUGAUAAUGUAAAGAAACAAAUUGAGAUGAUUAUGACUUUGAUUAUAUGUAAAAUAAAGUUGUUUUGAAUUUGAAUUAGUAUUUAAUGAUGGAAAUGGUGGUUGUGUUGGUACAAAUGAUGUGAUGAUGCUCAUGACUUAUGAUAAAAUCAUGGUAAGGGUGAUAGUGAUGACAGAAAUGAUUAUGAUGAUGAUGAUGAUCAUGAUCAUGAUGUGGCUAAAAUGUGGAAAAAGAGCAGCAUUUUUCACAUUUCUCAUCAGUCUUUUUGCUUCUUUUUUCUUGUCUUUUCUGUUUUCUUUUCACCUUUAUUCGAGUAGGUUGUACUUAAAAAUUUUAUAUAGAUGCGAUUUUGCAACUUCUGAUGGUUAUAAUGAUCAUGGUGAUGAUGAUAAUUUUAGACUAACAUACCCAACAUCUGUUUUGCCUAGAUAGCCAUACACUGUGUGUGCCUGCAGGCGUGGAUCCAUGAUUGAUUUUAUGUGGGGGGGGGGGCUCAAACGGAAAAUUUUCUGACUUAAGCACAAGAAAAAAAUAAAACAAAUUAAAACAAAUAAAAUGAAAAAGGUUUUGACUCCUUUUUUGAAAUUUGAGAAGCCCCCCCCCCCCUCAAAAAGAAAGAAAUGAGUAAUAAAAUAAAUAAGGUUAUCACUCCUGUUUGAAAUCUGACAAACAAAAAAAGGGUAUCAUUCCUUCUUGAAAUUUGACAAGCAAAAAAAAAAAAGAAGAAAAAAAAGGUUAUUCCUUUUUGAAAUCUGACAAGCAGCAUAAUAAAAAGGAAAAAAUUAUCAAUUUUUUUGCAGGGGAGAGGGGUCAACUGGGCCUUGAACCUUCCCCCCCCCCCCUGUAUGCACGGCUGUGUGCCCAUAUACCUGUGGAGAAAUUUCUUAUUGGAAAUCUUUUCGAAAUGUGAAAAGCAAAGAACAGUCUUCCCCCCCCCCCUCCCAUACCUUCCUUUGUUUCCAUAGUGCAUAUAGCAUUUUUGAUUAUUUUAUGUAGAAUAAAACAGCAAUGUGGUUAAAAUGCCUUGCUCAAUGGCAUAACUAAAUACCGUGCUGGAGAUGAGAAUUUUGAUCCUCACAUUUCUGUAGGCCAGUUGGCCAUGGCACCUUUACUAACAGUUGCAAUUGUAAUUAAGUGGCUUAGCAUUACCUUGAGAUGUUAUAAUGUCAGUGUCAAGCUGGGCAAUUUGGUAUGAAUUUGUGUGAUUUGUAAUGUAAAGGGAGGAUGUUCACAAAGAUGAUGGAAAUAUGGUGGUGGUGGUGAUGGUGAUGGAGUUAAUGAUCAUAAUUGAAAGAAACACUUGAUGUCUUUGUGGAUGAUCUUCUUGAAUGCAACAAUGAAAUAAUUAAAAUUUAUUUCAUUAUGAUAUGUUCAACAUAGAAAAUAUUCUUCAAAAAAAUAUCGGAUUUUAUGCGUUAAUGUGAUGAAAGUGACUAAUCGGAAGGGGGGGGGGGCAAUUCACAGGUGAAAGUAUGUUUUAUUGGAAUAUUACAAUGGAGAAAAGUGAUAUUGUAAAUUGCUAUUUGAAAUGAAAUGAAAUUCGAAAAGUGUGAAAAAAUAGAUAGGCUUAUAUGUUUUGCCUUAUGAUACUUGCAAAUAUAACACUGGCCAAUUUUACCUUCAGAAUCAUCUUGGUACAAAAUAAACAGCUAUAAUUAGCAUAAGAUUUUUUUGUCACAGAUAAUUGAGUUGAGGUCAUAUAAACUAAUUUUUGAUAAAAGUUGAAGUUGAGGUAUUUCAGAUAAAAAGUUUAAGUAUUAAAAAUGAAACCAAAAUCUUUUUUUUCCCCUUGAGUCUCUAAAUGGCUAUUUUUUUUGUCAGCAAAGUUUUCUUGAAUAAUUCUGUUCUUAUAUACUGACUACCUAAUAUUAACAUCUAUACAAAAAUUAAUGUUAAAGUUAUGAUAAUCCAGUCGUCACAUUAUUGGCAACAGACAGAUAAAAUUCGGGAAAAAUGGGCAGUAAUAAUAUUUUCCAAAUAAAAACAGAAGAAGAAAUAUUAUUGAUAUGGAAAUAUUUGGUGACAUCUAGUUAUAGUUCUUUGGUUGCUUUUUAUUUGGUCAUCGAUGAUGAUCGAUACUUUGGUGAUCGAUACUUUGAUACGACGACUGUGACCGUUCCGGCCGUGCGUGUUUGCAUGAUAUGUGCAACUUGUUACUCCUAACGUAACGUUAGUGAAAGUUGGAAGUGUAUCAAAGUUUUUCCGAAAUUCAGAAAUAUUGGUUGUUAUCACCUUAGGUUGUGUUGAUAUUGUGAGUUUUGAUAAUUCAAAAAUUUGACAGGUAGUACCUUUGAAGUGAAAGGCAGUGAUAUUGGCCAAGUGCAUUGAGCCGUUACUAACUGAUUUCCAGAAAUUUGCAGUUCCAGAUCGUAAGCAGAUAUGAGCCUCUCUUGGCAGCAGAUGAUGAUGAUGGUGAUGAGGAUGAUAAUGAUGAUCAGAACAUUGAAACCUUCAAACAGAGAAGAC